AUGGCUCAGAACGAACGCUGGCGGCGUGCUUAACACAUGCAAGUCGAACGCGAAAGGGACUUCGGUCCUGAGUAAAGUGGCGCACGGGUGAGUAACGCGUAGAUAACCUGUCUUUAUGUCUGGAAUAAUACGCCGAAAGGGGUACUAAUACCGGAUAUUUUUUGCAUUGCAUAAGCAGUGUAAGCAAAGGUGGCCUCUGACAUAAGCUACUGCAUAAAGAGGGGUCUGCGUACCAUUAGCUAGUAGGUGGGGUAAAGGCCUACCUAGGCUACGAUGGUUAGCGGGUCUGAGAGGAUGAUCCGCCACACUGGCACUGGAACACGGGCCAGACUCCUACGGGAGGCAGCAGUGAGGAAUAUUGCGCAAUGGGGCAACCCUGACGCAGCGACGCCGCGUGAGUGAGGAAGGCCUUCGGGUCGUAAAGCUCUGUCAAAGGGAAAGAAGUGCAUGGUGAUUAAUACCUGCCAUGUUUGACGGUACCCUUAAAGGAAGCACCGGCUAACUCCGUGCCAGCCGCCGC
This 520-nucleotide ribosomal RNA is filed under the name uncultured bacterium. RNAcentral describes it as "bacterial SSU rRNA". It matches the Rfam family "Bacterial small subunit ribosomal RNA", at positions 19 to 518 of the family's 1533-position model. The record is from RNAcentral.